This 253-nucleotide ribosomal RNA is filed under the name uncultured bacterium. RNAcentral describes it as "partial 16S ribosomal RNA". It matches the Rfam family "Bacterial small subunit ribosomal RNA", at positions 524 to 776 of the family's 1533-position model. The record is from RNAcentral.
GACGAACCGUGCGAACGUUGUUCGGAAUAACUGGGCUUAAAGGGCGCGUAGGCGGGCUGCCAAGUUCGGGGUGAAAUCCUCCCGCUCAACGGGAGAACUGCCCCGAAUACUGGCGGUCUCGAGGGAGGUAGGGGCGUGCGGAACUAUGGGUGGAGCGGUGAAAUGCGUUGAUAUCCAUAGGAACUCCGGUGGCGAAGGCGGCACGCUGGACCUCUUCUGACGCUGAGGCGCGAAAGCCAGGGGAGCAAACGGG